UAAAAGAUAGUUUAACGAAAAUUCUGGCUUUGGGAGCCAGUGAUGGAUACUCAUUUCCUCUUUUAA
This 66-nucleotide transfer RNA is filed under the name Kinyongia fischeri (Fischer's chameleon). Its description in RNAcentral is "tRNA-Pro". It matches the Rfam family "tRNA". From Rfam's summary of the family: Transfer RNA (tRNA) molecules are approximately 80 nucleotides in length. Lineage: Eukaryota; Metazoa; Chordata; Lepidosauria; Squamata; Chamaeleonidae. The record is from RNAcentral.